This 4704-nucleotide ribosomal RNA is filed under the name Candidatus Woesebacteria bacterium RIFCSPHIGHO2_01_FULL_39_17. RNAcentral describes it as "23S ribosomal RNA". It matches the Rfam family "Bacterial large subunit ribosomal RNA". Lineage: Bacteria; Candidatus Woeseibacteriota. The record is from RNAcentral. RNAcentral also lists the same sequence under 1 other name.
GAUAUUAACGCAGACAGUGAAUGCCUUGGUGCAAGUUGCCGAAGAAGGACGCACAUGGUAGCGAUAUUCGUCGGGGAGGAGCCACGAUCCUUUGAUCCGGCGGUGUCCGAAUGGGGAAACCCUACCAACUUCAUAGUUGGUAACUCCACAGCCAAAGUUCCGAUUUAAUCGGAACAUAACUGUGGUAGAGGGAACCGUCCAAACUGAAACAUCUAAGUAGGGCGAGGAAGAGAAAUCAAUCGAUAUUCCGUCAGUAGCGGAGAGCGAAAGCGGAAAAGCCCAAACCCUUGUGCGCUGCACACAGGUAGUUAUUAGUUAUUGGUUCAUGGUUCGUAGUUAAGAAAAAUUACUAUGAACUAUGAACUAACUAACCAACUAACUAUUUGCGCGCAGCGUGCGAGGGGGUUGUAGGAGCCCAACGUGGGAGUUGACUUAAUAGCAGAACCAUCUGGAAUGAUAGACCACAGAGAGUGAAAGUCUCGUAUGCAAAAUUAAGUUGACCUCUAGGGAAUUCCUGAGUAUCCCGAUGUAAACUCUUCGGGAGAAGCUGGGGGAACCAUCCUCCAAGGCUAAAUACGACUUGCAACCGAUAGUGAACUAGUACCGUGAGGGAAAGGCGAAAAGAAGGGCGGGACGCCCAGUGAAAUAGAACCUGAAACUGUUUGCGGACAAACCGUAAGAGCUCGUGCUUCGCACUCGCUUGGUUAGUUAGUUCAUAGUUCGGAGUUCAUGGUAAAGAAAUUCACUAUGAACCAUGAACCAAUAACUAAUAACUAAUCGAACGAACGCGGAGCGUGAGUGAUUGCGUGCCUAUUGAAGAAUGAGCCGGCGAGUUGUCGUUUGGUGCAGCUUAACCCCGCACCUAAGUAGCAUAAAUAUUACCUGAUUUGAGUUCUAUCUUAUUUCAACGCUAAAUUUUCUAUGGAUAGUUUGAGUUUAUUGAAAUUAGGAUUCAUAUUUUGGAAAAUCAGAUGCUAUUUAGGUGCGGGGGGAGGCAUAGGGAAACCAAGUUUUAAUAGAGCGUUUAGUACCAAGCGGCAGACCCGAAACCGGGUGAUCUAUCCAUGAGCAGGGUGAACCCCGCAGAAGUGCGGGAGGAGGCCCGAACCGGUUGAUGUUGCAAUAUCAUCGGAUGACUUGUGGAUAGCGGUAAAAUGCCAAACGAACCCGGAGAUAGCUGGUUCUCCCCGAAAGGUCUAUAGGGACCGUGGUACGUCAGGUGUUAUCGGUGGUAGAGCUACUGAAUGGGAUAGCGAGGGUAACCGAGUUAUUUCAACCAAACUCCGAAUAACGAUGUACACUAACGUGCUAAACAGUCGCAUCGGGCUAAGCUGAUGCGGCGAAAGGGAAACAUCCCAGACUCUCAGCUAAGGCCUCUAAAUUGCAGCUAAGUUUUAAAGGAAGUUCGCGUCCUUAGACACCCAGGAGGUUGGCUUAGAAGCAGCCACCCUUUAAAGAUAGCGUAACAGCUCACUGGUUGAGGUUGUGGGCGCCGAAAAUUUAUCGAGGAUAAGCUGUAUGCCGAAGCUGGAGAUUUCGUGCGUAGCACGAAGGAUUUUAGGAAUGUAGGAUAAAAGUGAUAAGUCAAGGUUAAGAUUUUAAUGUUGUAUUCUGAUUGGUCACUAGAAUCCUAUUAUCUUAGUAUCUUUCGCGCUAUGCGCGAUAUGGUAGGGGAGCGUUCCAUAUACGGUGAAGUCGUUUUGUAAAAAACGGUGGAGUGUAUGGAAGUGAGAAUGCCGGUAUGAGUAGCGUACUACUCCGGUGAGAAUCCGGAGCACCGAAUGCCCGAGGAUUCCGCCCAGACGUUCGUCGAGGGCGGGUUAAUCGGUACCUAAGGGAAGGCCGAAAGGCGUACCCGAUGGAUAACUGGUCAAAAUUCCAGUAUUUAUUUUGAAUCGCCCACUUGUCCGUAGGACAAGUGCGCAGAAAUAUGCGGAAGUUAGAUAUACGCAGAAUGACGCAGAAUUUUCAGCGUUUUUCAGCGUAAAUUUCAGCAUUAUUCAGCGUACUCGUCCUGCGGACGAGAACUGGGGGUUGACUGGAUAGGAUGGUUGGAGCCCCAUAACGAUUUGGGGUGUAAGUUAUAAGAUAGUGUCAGCAGGAAAAUCCGCUAAUACGUUUAAUCGAAUAACGAUGCAGAGUCUUGUGCAAACAGGACAAUUUCAUCCCAUUCAAUCUACAAGAAAAGGCUCGCAGUGAGAUUCAAAGUAAGCCGUACCGCAAACCGACACAGGUGGGCUGGUCGAGAAGACUAAGGUGAGCGAGAGAAAGAGGUUCAAGGAACUCGGCAAAAAAUCUGGACGUAAGUUCGCAAGAUGUCCUGUCGCCGCAAGGCGACUACAACAAAAGAGUGCUAACCGACUGUUUAUCAAAAACACAGGUCCGUGCAAAAGCGUAAGCUGAAGUAUACGGGCUGACGCCUGCCCAGUGCCGGUAAGUUAAGAGGAUGGGUGGUCCGAUGUUACAUCGGACUGCUCUGAAUUCAAGCUCCGGUAAACGGCGGCUUUAACUAUAAGAGUCCUACGGUGGAAAAUUCGCCGCCGUAGUAAAAUCUGACUAUAUGCUGGAAAAUCCGGUGUAUCCCGUGCUACUCUUGAAAUAGAGUAAAAAAGCAACAGGUGCGGAUAAUCAGCAGGAAAGGUUCUUAAAGAAAAAUUUAAGAAAAUCCUCAGAGACUAUACGUCAGACUCCAGUUAGAUAAUUUUGUAUCUGAUGGAGAUGAUAUAGUCCGAUCCUUAUAGCGAUAUAAGGUUUUGCAAAAAAGCGUGCAAAUAUAAAACAAGCGUUAGUUUGUUGUUUUUUUGACUAAUCACUAGUCACUAAUUACUAAUAACUAUUUUUGAGCGAAGUUCCUUGUCGUGUAAGUUACGACCUGCACGAAAGGCGUCACGAGUUAGCAACUGUCUCGAGCCUCUACUCGGCGAAAUUGCGUUGGCUGUGAAGACGCGGCCUACUUCCACCAGGACAAAAAGACCCCGUGGAGCUUUACUGUAGCUUGGCAUUGUUUUGUGCGAGCCAAUUGUACAGAAUAGGAGGGAGAGUGUGCGUUGCACACAGGUAGUUAUUGGUUCAUGGUUCGUAGUUAAGAAAAAUUACUAUGAACUACGAACUAACUAACCAACUAACUAUUUGCGCGCAGCGCAUGCUCAAUCGUGUAAUACCUCCCUUUGGAACGUGGCAAGACUUACCUAAGUCGCCUGAACACGGCGACAGGGAAAGUGCUAGGUGGGCAGUUUUACUGGGGCGGUACCUUGCCAAAAGGUAACGCAAGGGUACAAAGGUCGGCUUAGUACGGAUGGACAUCGUACUGAAUGUAUAAAGGCAUAAGCCGGCUUGACUGCGACAGUGACGGCUGGAGCAGGAACGAAAGUUGGUCUUAGUGAUCCCCCAAACCAGUGUGGAAUGGUUGGGGCUUAACGGAUAAAAGCUACCCCGGGGAUAACAGAGUAGUCGCACCCGAGAGUCCAUAUCGACGGUGCGGUUCGCUACCUCAACAUUGACAUCGGGGUCCUCCGAUAGUGAUAUUGGAGUGCUGUUUUUUAAGUUCCCCAGAACUUAAAAGAAAAUUCGACUCAUAACGGUGAAACCCUACUUGAAUUUGGGUAACUUUCGGGUUAUUCUAUUUUAAGGGGUAAUACCGUGGGAAGUUUACAUUUUUGUCGGAAAACUCGGAAUACUCGGAGAACCAGAACUUCAGAGUAUCGGAAUACCAGAGAACCUGAUAACAUCAUAAUAUGAUUCGGGAUGUUACGGACCUUGAAGUAUACCGAUUAUCUCUGAAACUUCUAAAAAAGUUAUAUUUGUUUCUUCGAAAAGUUCCAAGAUCAGAAUAUGAUACUGUUCGCCAAUGUAAAAGAGCAGGAAAAGGAAUCCCGGCACAUAUUGCUGAAGGAUUUGCAAAAAGAUCUUCAGAAGCUGAAUUUAAGCGAUAUUUGAAGAUAGCAAUUGGUACAAGUGAUGAGAUUAUUUCUCACUUGCGGACUGUUGCAAUUGCAGUACCAAGACUUGCUCAAGAAGCAAAAGAGCUUGCGGAAGAAUACAAAAUUCUUUCAAAAAGACUAAAUAGGCUUCAUACAAUUUGGCGUUCUGGUAAUUUCUGAUGUUCCGACGUAUACAACUAUCUGAUUCUCAGACAUUCUGAGUUAUCAGAGUUUUCUGAAAUGUAUAACCCCGUAUCGACUUGUCCGAGUUAACAUCGGACAGAUGGAAAUUUUUGGCGUUAUGCCAAAAUCAUAGUUUUCAUAACACGUCGACACCCCGCAAAGUUGUGCGGGAUGAAGGUAUAGUCAAGCCACUACGUAAGUAGAUGGAUUUAAGGCGAUGUCGGCUCACCGCAUCCUGGGGGGGGAGCACCUCCCAAGGGUUGGUCUGUUCGCCCAUUAAAGCGGUACGUGAGCUGGGUUCAGAACGUCGUAAGACAGUUCGGACUCUAUCCGGUGGAAGCGUUCGAGUCUUGAAGGGAGCUCUCCUCAGUACGAGAGGACCAGGAGGGAGGAAUCCCUGGUGUGCCGGUUGUGGCAUCAGCCGCAACGCCGGGUAGCUACAUUCCUAAGGGAUAACCGCUGAAAGCAUCUAAGUGGGAAGCCCACCCUAAGAUUAGGACUCGUUAUUAGAUCCCAGAAAGAAUAUCUGGUUGAUAGACUGGAAGUGGAAGGGCAGCAAUGCCUUAAGCUUACCAGUACUAAUCGAUCGAUUUCAGACUUU